CGCGUAGGCGGCUUAGCAAGUCAGAUGUGAAAGCCCCGGGCUCAACUCGGGAAUUGCAUCUGAAACUGCUUUGCUUGAGUCCUGGAGGGGAUAGUGGAAUUCCCAGUGUAGCGGUGAAAUGCGUAGAUAUUGGGAGGAACACCUGCGGCGAAGGCGGCUAUCUGGACAGUGACUGACGCUGAGGCGCGAAAGCUAGGGGAGCGAACG
RNAcentral lists this ribosomal RNA (207 nucleotides) under uncultured Acidobacteriota bacterium. RNAcentral describes it as "uncultured Acidobacteria bacterium partial 16S ribosomal RNA". It matches the Rfam family "Bacterial small subunit ribosomal RNA", at positions 568 to 774 of the family's 1533-position model. The record is from RNAcentral. Lineage: Bacteria; Pseudomonadati; Acidobacteriota.